AGACCCCUUGCGGGAGAGCUUCCGGAUCGUGCCGUCAUGGGCGUCGCGGGAGCGCCGAAGGAGCAACCCCUCCCCGGAAUCUCUCAGGCACCCGUACCGCAUGGACGAG
This 109-nucleotide non-coding RNA is filed under the name Actinacidiphila rubida. RNAcentral's name for it is "Streptomyces rubidus Glycine sequence". It matches the Rfam family "Glycine riboswitch aptamer". From Rfam's summary of the family: This family represents the bacterial glycine riboswitch. Glycine riboswitches usually consist of two metabolite-binding aptamers domains with similar structures in tandem. The record is from Rfam by way of RNAcentral. Lineage: Bacteria; Bacillati; Actinomycetota; Actinomycetes; Kitasatosporales; Streptomycetaceae.